CUACGGGCGGCACCAGUGAGGAAUUUUGCGCAAUGGAGGUAACCCUGACGCAGCAACGCCGCGUGAGUGAUGAAGGCUUUCGGGUCGUAAAGCUCUGUCAAGUGGGAAGAAUAUACGAAAUGCUAAUACCAUUUUGUACUGACGGUACCACUGAAGGAAGCACCGGCUAGCUCCGUGCCAGCAGCCGCGGUAAUACGGGGGGUGCAAGCGUUAUUCGGAAUUAUUGGGCGUAAAGAGCACGUAGGCGGCCGCUUAAGUCAGAUGUGAAAGCCCGGGGCUCAACCCCGGAAGUGCAUUUGGAACUAAGUGGCUUGAGUAUGGGAGAGGGAAGUGGAAUUCCUGGUGUAGAGGUGAAAUUCGUAGAUAUCAGGAGGAACACCGGUGGCGAAGGCGACUUCCUGGACCAAUACUGACGCUGAGGUGCGAAGGCGUGGGGAGCAAACAGGAUUAGAUACCCGCGUAGUC
Molecule: ribosomal RNA, 465 nt
Filed under: uncultured bacterium
Lineage: Bacteria
Description: partial 16S ribosomal RNA
Rfam family: Bacterial small subunit ribosomal RNA
Source: RNAcentral